RNAcentral lists this non-coding RNA (53 nucleotides) under unclassified sequences. RNAcentral describes it as "Li+-I sequence". It matches the Rfam family "nhaA-I RNA". Rfam says of the family: Acidobacteria, Alphaproteobacteria, Betaproteobacteria and Gammaproteobacteria, Verrucomicrobia, cand. division NC10. The record is from Rfam by way of RNAcentral.
GGGUUCAGAGGAUUAAGCUCUGGAGGUAUUAUCAGAUGGUCGGGCCGCCAUCU